Molecule: ribosomal RNA, 443 nt
Filed under: uncultured bacterium
Lineage: Bacteria
Description: partial 16S ribosomal RNA
Rfam family: Bacterial small subunit ribosomal RNA
Source: RNAcentral
CCUACGGGAGGCAGCAGUGGGGAAUAUUGGGCAAUGGGCGCAAGCCUGACCCAGCAACGCCGCGUGAAGGAAGAAGGCCCUCGGGAUGUAAACUUCUUUUAUCAAGGAAGAAAAAAAUGACGGUACUUGAUGAAUACGCCACGGCUAACUACGUGCCAGCAGCCGCGGUAAUACGGAGGUGGCAAGCGUUAUCAGGAUUUACUGGGUGUAAAGGGCGAGUGGGCGGGACUGCAAGUCAGAUGUGAAAACCAUGGGCUCAACCCAUGGCCUGCAUUUGAAACUGUAGUUCUUGAGUGUGGGAGAGGCAGGCGGAAUUCCGGGUGUAGCGGUGAAAUGCGUAGAUAUACGGAGGAACACCAGUGGCGAAGGCGGCCUGCUGGACAAUAACUGACGCUGAGGCGCGAAAGCGUGGGGAGCAAACAGGAUUAGAUACCCUAGUAGUC